Molecule: ribosomal RNA, 544 nt
Filed under: Bifidobacterium dentium
Lineage: Bacteria; Bacillati; Actinomycetota; Actinomycetes; Bifidobacteriales; Bifidobacteriaceae
Description: bacterial SSU rRNA
Rfam family: Bacterial small subunit ribosomal RNA
Source: RNAcentral
GGGUGGUAAUGCCGGAUGCUCCGGUUGGAUGCAUGUCCUUCCGGGAAAGAUUCUAUCGGUAUGGGAUGGGGUCGCGUCCUAUCAGCUUGAUGGCGGGGUAACGGCCCACCAUGGCUUCGACGGGUAGCCGGCCUGAGAGGGCGACCGGCCACAUUGGGACUGAGAUACGGCCCAGACUCCUACGGGAGGCAGCAGUGGGGAAUAUUGCACAAUGGGCGCAAGCCUGAUGCAGCGACGCCGCGUGCGGGAUGGAGGCCUUCGGGUUGUAAACCGCUUUUGAUCGGGAGCAAGCCCUUCGGGGUGAGUGUACCUUUCGAAUAAGCACCGGCUAACUACGUGCCAGCAGCCGCGGUAAUACGUAGGGUGCAAGCGUUAUCCGGAAUUAUUGGGCGUAAAGGGCUCGUAGGCGGUUCGUCGCGUCCGGUGUGAAAGCCCAUCGCUUAACGGUGGGUCUGCGCCGGGUACGGGCGGGCUGGAGUGCGGUAGGGGAGACUGGAAUUCCCGGUGUAACGGUGGAAUGUGUAGAUAUCGGGAAAGAACACCA